RNAcentral lists this ribosomal RNA (467 nucleotides) under uncultured bacterium. RNAcentral describes it as "partial 16S ribosomal RNA". It matches the Rfam family "Bacterial small subunit ribosomal RNA", at positions 28 to 506 of the family's 1533-position model. The record is from RNAcentral.
GACGAACGCUGGCGGCGUGCUUAACACAUGCAAGUCGAACGGAAAGGCCCUGCUUUUGUGGGGUGCUCGAGUGGCGAACGGGUGAGUAACACGUGAGUAACCUGCCCUUGACUUUGGGAUAACUUCAGGAAACUGGGGCUAAUACCGGAUAGGAGCUCCUGCUGCAUGGUGGGGGUUGGAAAGUUUCGGCGGUUGGGGAUGGACUCGCGGCUUAUCAGCUUGUUGGUGGGGUAGUGGCUUACCAAGGCUUUGACGGGUAGCCGGCCUGAGAGGGUGACCGGCCCAAUGGGGACGGAGAUAGGGCCAAGACUCCCUGGGGGGGAAGGGGGGGGGAAUUUGGCACAAGGGGCGGAAGCCUGGGGCAGCAACGCCGGGGGGGGGAGGACGGCCUUCGGGUUGUAAACCGCUUUCGCCUGUGACGAAGCGUGAGUGACGGUAAUGGGGAAAGAAGCACCGGCAAACUACGU